UUAGACUACUCAGUUGCGCCCUAACAGCAUAACUUUGCAAUGAGUACUUUUUCUCCUUCAAUCGAACAAAGAGCAAAACCAAAUUAUAUUGUUCUAUUUUGCCCCGAGAGAGUAAAUUUGUAACGUAUCGAUAUCAACGUUCACAAAAACCAAAAUCGGAGCAACAUUAGACUACUCAGCUGCGCCCUUUCAAUAUAACUUUGCAACGAAUACUUUUUCUCAUUCAACUGAACAAAGAGUAAAACCUAAUUAUGUUGUUCUAUUAUGCCCCGAGAGUAUAAAUUUGCAGCGUAUCGAUAUCAACGUUCACACGAACCAAAACCGGACCAACAUUAGACUACUCAGUUGCGCCCUAAUAGUAUAACUUUGCAACGAGUAAUUUUUCUCAUUCAACCGAACAAAGAGUAAAACUAAAUUAUAUUAUUCUAUUAUGCCCCGAGAGUAUAAAUUUGGAACGUAUCGAUGUCAACGUUCACAAGAACUAAAACCGGAAUAACAUUAGACUACUCAGUUACGCCCUAACAGUAUAACUUUGCAAACAGUACUUUUUCUCAUUCAAUCGAACAAAGAGUAAAACCAACUUAUAUUAUUCUAUUAUGCCCCGAGACUGUAAAUUUGCAACGUAUUGAUGUCAUCGUUCACAAGAACCAAAACCGGAAGAAAAUUAGACUACUCAGUUGCGCCCUAACAACAUAACUUUGCAAACAGUGCUUUUUCUCAUUCAAUCGAACAAAAAGUAAAAUCUAAUUAUAUUGUUCUAUUACGGCCUGAGAGUGUAAGUUUGCAACGCAUCGAUGUCAACGUUCACAAGAACCAAAACGAGAAAAACAUUAGACUACUCAGUUGCUCCCUAAUAGUAUAACUUUACAACGAGUAUUUUUUCUCAUUCAACCGAACAAAGAGUAAAACUAAUUAUAUUGUUCUAGUAUGCCCCGAGAGUGUAAAUUUGCAACGUAUUGAUGUCAACGUUCAAAAAAACCAAAACCGAACCAACAUUAGACUACUCAGUUGCGCCCUAACAGUAUAACUUUACAACGAGUACUUUUUCUUCUUCAACCGAACAAAGAGUUAAACCUAAUUAUAUUUUUCUAUUAUGCCCCGAGAGUGUAAAUUUGCAACGUAUCGAUGUCAACAUUCACAAGAAACGAAACCGAAAAAAUUUUAAACUACUCAGUUGCUCCCUAACAGUAUAACUUUGCAAUGAGUACUUUUUCUUAUUCAAUCGAACAAAGAGUAAAACCUAAUUAUAUUGUUCUAUUAUGCCCCGAGAGUGUUAAUUUGCAACGUAUCGAUGUCACGUUUACAAGAACCAAAACCGGAACAACUUAUGACUACUCAGUUACGCCCUAACAGUAUAACUUUGCAAACAGUACUUUUUCUCAUUCAAUCGAACAAAGAGUAAAACCAAAUUAUAUUAUUCUAUUAUGCCCCGAGAUUGUAAAUUUGCAACGUAUAGAUGUCAGCGUUCACAGGAACCAAAACCGGAAGAACAUUAGACUACUCAGUUGCGCACUAACAGCAUAACUUUUCAAUGAGUACUUUUUCUCCUUCAACCGAACAAAGAAUAAAACCUUAUUAUAUUGUUCUAUUAUGCCCCGAGAGUGUAAAUGUGCUUUGGAGCAACCACGACGAGCGCGAGGCCACUUGGGAGUUGGAGAGCGCACUGCGGGAGCGCUAUCCCCAUCUUUUUCAGAUGGAUGCUUGAGGUACUGGUCUUUUCGAGUUUUGCGGACGAAACUCCUUUUUAGGAGGGGUGAAUGUAACCCACUGGACCUUUGCAAAUUGCGAGGUUCGAGUGAUUGGAUGUGUACCGAGCUGUUCCACACUUGGUGGAGGGUCGUAGAAUGUUUUCCGACCUAAAAAGUUCGAACCUGAAUUUUGGAUGAGUCCUGAGAGUUUUUACUCUGGGGGACCGGACCCUGAGAGGAGAGACCGGUCCCCCAGUGAGCAGUGUGCGGCAGCUGGCGAGGCAACCGGUCCCUGGCAGGCGAGACCAGUCCCUGAGCGCGUCUACGCGGGGAGAGACCGGUCCGGUGCGGGGAGAGACCGGUUCCCGAACGUGGUUUUUCUGGGGGCAGGCCGAGAGACCGGUCCCAUGUCGGGGAGACCGGUCCCUCUGGGCGAAAACUGCCCAGUCCGAGCUUUGCACAGGGAGCAAAGUUGAGGGACUUAGUUGGAUUUUGUUACACUAGAUGGCCUAUAUGGCCACUCCACUCUCCCUUCUCCUCAUUUCUCCCCUCACACCCUCUCCACACCUUUGUUAGAGAGAGAAGAAGGAGGAGAAGAAGAAGGAGAAGAAGAGGAGGAGGAUCUAGCUUGGACUUGGAGCUUUUCUUUUUCCUCUCCUUCUCUUCCCACCUUGUUGUUGCUUGAAGGCUUAGACUUGGAGCUUGCAAGAGAGGAGACCUUCACCCUCGGAGCUUGGAUUGAAGCUUCUAAGGAGGUUAGUUGCUCUUUUCCUUCCUCUAGACCUUGAUUUGUUGGUUUUUAGGAGAUGGAACCCUAGAAUGGGAUCUUAGGGUUUAAUUUGGGCGUUUUGAUUCUAGGGCUUUUGAGGCUAGAUUGUUUGGAUUAGAACCUUCCUUGGGCUUGGAUUGGAAGGGUUCUAGCUCUCUUUUGGAGCUUUGGAAGAGAUUUCAUCUCUUGAGGUGAGUUUUGGCCCUUUUGGCUUCUAGGUUAAUGUUUGAUCUUAAAGUUGAUCAUAAUGCCCGUGUAUCUCUUCGCUCAAUACUUUUAGGGUAUUUUGAGACUCGUGGACAACUUCGUUCGGCGAAACGAGGCACUACGCGACGGUUUGGUGGGUUUGACCUAGCCUUUAUAUGAGAAAUUCUCAUAUAUGGUGAUNACCGAGAACUAACCUUUCCUCGACACCAACCCAAUCACCCCACAUGGGUGACAUCGUCACCAAACGUCAUAUCCAACCGCGAAUUCACGACUUCGCCGGCGCCUAACAGCACAAUUUAGCUAUCGCAAUUGUGCACGGUGAACCUUCUUCUCCGCCCAAUCCUAGAGCGACUCUUUCGCUCACCAUAUUCUAACGGAUAGGGACCGACCUACCCUUCCAGUGAGAGUCUCAACUACCAUCGCCAUAUGAUUACUGGCACACUCUCCCAACCUCACAGCUAAGCACCUAGGCUUCAACUCAUCUUGUCCUCCUCGACCAAUCGUCAUCCCGAGGACGAAAUGCAGUACAUAAACAGCACACCGUCUACCUUUCAAAUUUCCACCAGUUCCAUUAAUAGUGCGAAUCGAUAUCCAACGAUUCACCAUAUUCCGAUACCAAUCCCAGUCGAUCACACGAGGGACAUAUUUUGCCUCGAUCGCCACACUAGCUCAACUCCUUUCGGUUGGCACAUUUCAACAUGGGCGCUCUUAAUUGCCUCUUACCAUUCAACCAAUCAUUGCCUGCACACUCUACCCGUCGGGCCGGAGUCGUCAUCAAUCACCCUCACUUAACGACGUCAAUCAAUUCCGCCAAACACCACUCUCCUUCGAGAGCAAUACCACCUAUCGAUUUGAGUGGUUAACCAUCACUUCUCAUACAUAGAGGUAGACCUCCUCGAUCCACACGAGAGUCCACCAAUUGGUACUCUACCAUUAUCGCCACUCGAGAGUCUAUCUCACCAGGUAUGACUCUUUGUUACAUCCACGCUCCCCGAUGAACCUCACUCAGGUUCUUCAACCUGCAUCACUUCACGCGAUAUUUACCGUGCAUCGCCCAACCGCGAAUGCUUCAACCACAUAUGGACUUCGACUCUACAGUGAGAUGGCUCAUUUCGGCACAUCUACCAACUUCGGUUCCCUAGGAGCCUAGUCUUUCCAAACCUCACGUGGCUUAAACCACCCCAACGUCUAUUGGAGAACACCUCCAUUUCUCUAUCACGUCCCAACAUCGCAUCACUUUCGCGAUGAGUUCCCGCGAACACUUUGUUCGUGUAUCUAAUCGCAACUUACCAACAGCGCCAGACUUGGCAAUUCCAACACGCGAGCAGUACGACCGAGCCUCCGCUCCAAUGGUCACUACGCUUAAACCACCAAUUCACUAUUGGUCAACUAGAUUGUUCACCUCAGUUACCACAGGUGGUCCACAGACCAACCAUCCAACGUAGGCUUACCGCCAACCCGUCUCGAUACUACGCAGCGUCUCUCAUUCGUAACGCAGACCCAAUCAUCACUUAGUGAAAGUCCUCAUUUGAGACUUCGCACACACUCCAACCAGGAGACCUCAACCACUCCAUAUCCUUGGGUCAUAAUCACGCUUACGACUCAUUAUAACGAGCCAUGUUCACCUUUAUCGGCUCUUAAACAUCUAAGCCCUCUCAAUUUCUAUAUCUAUAAACAGCCCUUACUGGGCAAUUCCCGCAGUCGGGGACCGGUCUCUCCCCGCAGGGACCGGCCUCUCUCUACAAUGCAACCGGUCUCUCACCGAAGGACCGGUCUCACGGGGACCGGUCUCUCCUUCAGGAACCGGUUCCCGAGAGCUCAAUUUCCAGGACUUAGCCGAUUUUUCUCCUCUGUUCGGCUGCUGCGCGCACGGGACCGGUCUCUCCCUGCAGGGACCGGUCCCCGAGAGCCCAAAUUCUGGAACUUCACCAGAAUUGCAGUUUCGCUCUCUCGGGUCCCCCUACACCAUAAGUAUAGGCUCCAAAGCACUCUUAGCCUACACCAACUCAUUCCAUUCCGCGUUCCGCUCGUUUCGACAGAACUCGGCACGACAUACAGGAAUGUGAUACGCUACAUUUGCACCUUAUACUUGUGCUCGAUCUUAUGCUUACGAUACACAAGCAUGAAUUUUCCUCAGCAUUGUUGAGGUACCACUCGGCCACUCGCCAAAACUCGGCGAUUGCUCGACUAGCUCCACCACAACGGGGACGUUACAACCACCACUCGAGCCCUGGGAACAUCACCCGAACUCUUGAACCACAGGGUCAUCCUCAAGCAUCCCGACUUAACUCUCACAAUUUCGCUACUCAUAUUGCCUAGAGAGUUAGUCCAUCAACUCCACCUCUAUCUCGAGCUUAACUCUCGGCUCGCAACCGGCCACUUGCCGGUCUAAUCCAAUCACGCCUAUCCACUUAGUAGGUGAUAUCACUGUUACACAUGCAUACCAGGGGAUUAAUUUUAUCCACAUCUCGGUCUCAACUAUACUUAUGCAUGCAACGUUUCGAAUCCGCCUUAGAUCGGACCAUACAAUCUCUUCCAACGCACCACUCCUGCUACAACACCCUCAGUAGCAAUGGAUUCCACAACUAGGGUCGCUUUCUCAUAGCCACUUGACGCUCAUCGCGGACCCUCCGAUCGCAACAUCGACCAUACUUGCUCUCUAGACCAUGCCGCAGGCGACACACUCAUCGACGGUCUCAAAAGAUGGAAAUCGUCGCCCGCGCUAAGGUCCGGCUAUCUACCAACAGCACUCAACCCUUAUUCGGGUCGGUUGCCAACACCAACCAUAUCAUCUACCUCACAACGCACACCCCUGCGUCCGGUAGGAACCACCACAACCAACACCUCCCUACAAGGUCAACAAAAGACCUUGAAGUCGCAACCACGACUUUCUCGGGGUUGCCGAAAAUUUGAUCGACCACCCGACCGACUCAUCUAUCGGGUCACUCCCUAUCUCGCAACCAACCGGCACGAAUCCUCCAAAGAGAACUUCCACGGAGUCAUUCCAUACAUGUCCGUCCCACGGAUAUUACUCCAUCACAAUAAGCGGAUCAACUUCCUUAGGAAACCAUCCACAACUCUCAUGAGCCUCCAAUCCCUCUAUUCCCUGUGCAUUGCAGCCUCCUGCUGACAUUGCACCACGUCGGCUCGUCACUUUGCCACUACGACUAGUACAGUCAAUAGGCCUCAGAGCCCCAAGUCUCCACUAUGCUCGGCUAACUCUUGCACAUCACUAGUCCCGGUCCAUAUCGAUCUCCUUAAAGAUCGGCCACGCGUAACUACCGAACGUACAACAACUCAACCCUCAAAGUCAAGCGCGCGACACCUACACGCAACGCUAUCCACGACUCAAAUCCAGGCAAAAGUCAUGCAAGGGAGCCUAUUUUCAUCACUCGGUUUCAUGUUGUGUGCACCCAACACGAACACUCCAUAAUGAAAAUACACUACACCUUGGAUUCACCUCUAACAUCCGUUAUAGAGGCAUACCAAACACGACCCAAUUAGUUAACCUUUCGCCACAAUUUCAAAUCCUCGUUACAUUUCAAGAACCUAAAGCCUUACGGUUUCCCACCUAUAGUCCCUAAGUCCAUCCUAGACUUUUGCUUUCACUUACUCUGAUACCACUAUAUCUGUCACGCCCCGGGACCGCCAAUUUGGUCGGUUCGGGCACGUCAACAGACGCCGAACGGACAGCACCUCCCCUGUCCGCCCAAGGCUCCACCAAUACAUGUAUAACGAUAGCAAUUCAAACAUAAUGAAUGCAAGUAUACACGGCUUGCACGAGGGCAAGCAACAACCAAAUAUAAGUGAGAGCAGUCUAACUAUUACAUUUAUGCAUUGUAUCUUGAUCACUUUCAAUCAAAUACAAAGCUCAUGCAUUUCUUUACAUUCAUUCAUCUCAAUAUACAAUUGCAUCUCUCAAAUGAACUUAAUACAUUUCCACCUCUCACAUGAUUUUAUUACAUUUACAUUUUACAUUUUUACAUCAUCGACAUAAUAGAUGAAAUAUACAAGAGUGCCUCUAUACAUAAAGGUAGAACACUACCUAGAGCACGAUAACCACGCCACGAGCCCCGAUCGCCCCGCUCGCGCUAGAACCUGCAUGGUUAGUGGGAUGAGAACUAGAAGAAGUUCCCAGUGGGUUCGGCCACUGACUGCGCCGAUUCGCCCACUAGGUCUAUUUCAGGCAUAUGUAAUUCAAUAAAGAAGGAUAACAAACCAACUAAUGCACUUCUAAUACAAUGCCUGCAAGAAAGCAAAUCACAGAUAGAUAUUCAUAUUCAAAUACAUGAUGAUUAUGCAUGCAUGUCCUUUUCACUUUCCUUUAGUCUUUACACAAUCAACCUGGGGUGCUCCUGGUUUACCCCAACUCACAGUCCACACACUUUCCGUUGGCUUUUACCCAAUCAACCUGGGGUGCUCCUGGUUUACCCCAACUCACAGUCCACAUAUCCCGUCUAACGGGGGAGGCACAAGGCACAACCACCCGAAGGAUCUUCGCCGGGCACGUCCACCCGUGGUGUUUGUUCACUCCGGAGUACACCGCUUGUGGAGGAGCGACCUCCACAAGCCGGAACCAAUACAUGUGAGUAUGAUCCCCUCCUCAAUUUGAGGAGGUAUAGCCAAACCUGUCUCAAUGCCACAAUGCCGAUGAAAGGUCUUUUACUUAUUCAUGCAUAUACUUCCAUUUCCCAAUAUCACAAUGGUCCUGAUGCCACAAUAAGCUAAAUCUUGUUUAGUCAUUUCCUUUAACCAUGAUGCCACAAUACCGAUGAUAGGUCCUUACCUAUUCAUGUAUGUCACUUUACUAAGCCACAAUGGUCACAAUGCAUAGAAUGGUCUUUACUUUAUCUAGCAUAUCAUGCUCUUAGCCACUUUUGCCAUUAUUCUCAUAUUGCUCAUAAGGGCUUACCCUACUUAGCACAUCAAUUCAUAUUGUCACAAGGUCACAAUAUCUAGGGCCACACUUGCCACGAUGUCCACUAAUGGGAUAGUCAAUAUUUCACAAUGCUUUUAAGGUUUUACCUUAUCUAGCACAAUAUGUCCUCGGUGCCAAUCAUGUCACUAGAGUCAAUGUCACCUUUAUUUACUAUGGAUCAAGUCUUUUCUCACUUUCACAUACAUAUAGGGUUGUUCAUUUUCUCGUUCUCAUGGUUCUACAAUAUAUUUGCAAUGUUCAUAAGCAGAUAAUUGAUACAAUCAACAUUUAUCUCAUUACCCUACAUGCAUGAGUGCAACAUUAUCAAUAUGCUCAAAGAAGUGACAUAGACAUAGAAAGAGAUCCGGUGUUUCCGGACAGCACCCCCCACCUUGUAGGAAUGCCGAGAAGUUCCGAUUCAAUUUUCACGAUUUUUAGACACCUACGCCGCGAGCUGCGGCCAUCUGUACCAAUUUAGCUUGUUUCUUCAAUAUCUUCGUACCGGCUCGACGAAUCGACGAACCGAGCGCACCAACGCGUUCGUUGACCUACCAAUUAGGUUAACAAGAGAUCAAACUCAAGUUAGAUCUCAACUUUACAAAAUUCCCAAAUCUAACCCCUAGGGUUUAUCAUCUUUCCCAAAUAGGUCCCUAGACCAUAGAAAUCCAUGAAUAACCUCACCAUGACAUCUCCUAGAAGCUAGAUCUAGAAGGAAAAUACCAAACCCUAACAUCACAACCAUAAAACCUUCAAAUCUUAGGUUACUUAUCUCAAAUGGAAGCUCUCCUCCAAGCUAGGUUGCCAUGAGAGGGUUCCAUCUCCACCAAGCCAUCUUUUCUCCAUCAAAACUCCACCAUUGGAGCACCUCAAGGAGGGAGAGGGAGAGAUCUAGAGAGAGAGAGAGCUCUCAAGUUGGUGUUGGAGAGGAGAGAAAUGAGGGCUAAACCUCAUCUCUCCAACAUAUAAACUCAUAUAUACACAUUUGCACUUAACCCCCCACACCCCUCUAUGUUUAACACAAUGAUCCAGCUCAUACUGGGCAUUUUCGGGUCUCUGGGACCGGUCCUAGGGUUGAGAGACCGGUCCCCCGAAGGUCCAAAAAUUCUGCACCUUCCAGACAGCCAAAUUUUCAGCAUUUUCAGCUUCGGGGUCCGUUUUCGCUCGUUUUCGCUCGUUUGACCUCCGAUUCGUUUCAAAUCGAACCGAGACUCAUAAGACAUGUUUUCGAGCGUAUUUAAACCAUCUUUCCAUCCAUGCCCUUGCUAGAUUUAGUCCAUGGUCCAUCUUAGCCUUUCAGGCUCCGUUUUCGCCCCCUACGCGCAUUGAAGCAACCGAAUGCUUCCGAACUUCACCGUAACCAUUCUAACGGCUUUCCAAGCUAACAUACACCAUAACUUCAUAAUUAUAGAAGUUCGGUAUGUUACACGGGGUGUGACGCCUCGACUUCCCAGGGAUCACCCAUCCUAGGACUACUCCCGUCCUAGCACGCUUAACUCUCUUAACCUCUUGGGUCUUUGCCACCACCCAAAAUGCUUAAGCCGGGUUAAGAGUUUAGCCCUAUUAUAUCUUAUAUAUAGGACUAUCUGGGGUCUCACACGGGGCGUGACAGAGGCAGAGAAAGAGCGGGCUUUGACGGCCCUAAUGACCUUCAAGAAGUUUGAUCCGCCUGUCUUCAAUGGAGAGAAUGUUGAUCCAUGGAUCAUGGAGAUGUGGAUUGGCUCUAUGGAAACGCUCUUUGAGGAGCUGUACACCUUAGAGCGGGACAAGGUGCCCUUAACUGUGCAUUGCUUGAAGUAGUCGGCAAAGGUGUGGUGGAAAGGCAUUCGACGGAAUCGAUCGCCUAGUCUCCCUCCUAUGGCAUGGGAUGAGUUUCGGGGAUUGGUGUUUUCGACUUACUUCCCCGACACUGAAAAGAGAAAGCUCCAGGACAGGUUCAGGAAGCUGCGGCAAGGAAACCGCUCUGUGAGAGAAUAUGAACGGGAGUUCUCUCGUAUCGUGAAUUGUGUCCCGGAUGUGGUACGGGAUGACGAGGAUAUGGCCGAUUGGUUCCUGCGUCGACUUCGACCAGAGAUUUACGAGAGGGUGCAAAUCUUCAAGCUCACAAUCUUCGCGGAGGUGUUGGAUCAAGCGCUGUUGGCAGAGCACGGCGAGGCUUUUGUGCGUGAGGAGCACGACUCUUCUGAAUGUGAGCGGGGAGGGGUGAGGCCAUUGUCGAGCGGUUCGGGUGGACAAUCAAGUUCUAGGCGCCACUCGAAGUCGUCCUCUACCCGGUCCUCCCCCGGAUGCGUGAUUGGCGGUGGUUCCCACUGGGCUCGGCGAUGCGUGCUGCACGAUGGUAGGUGCCUUCGUUGUGGGCAGCCAGGCCAUAUGCGGGACGAGUGUCCGCAAGGGUAUGACCAGACCCUUCUUUGCAAACAGUGCUUUUUCUCAUUCAAUCGAACAAAGAGUAAAACCUAAUUAUAUUGUUCUAUUAUGGCACGAGAGUGUAUGUUUGCAACGUAUCGAUGUCAACGUUCACAAGAACCAAAACCGAAAAAAUAUUAUACUACUCAGUUGCUCCCUAAUAUACAGAGUUACUCGCACUGGCGAGUUAAGUACUAUGUACAUAAGCUCGAAAUAAAACAACUACCUGCAGUAGGGUGCCUCUAGCUCUGCUCGGCGGGUAGGGCUCUAACUCGCGACGCCCUUGCCUCGAUCCUAAUCCGCGGAAGGCGCAACAGCCGAAACCUGUGGCUCUGCAAAACAGGGGUAACAACUGGGUGUGAGAACUACUGUAAAAACAAGUAGUCCUCAGUGGGUACCGCCCAAAACAACAUCGGUCCACCCACUAAGUCUACAGAAGGGAGCAAGAAUAGUCGGAAAAGCAGGAAGUAAACUCUACCGCUAUCAAUCACUACACUAUCAUGCUCUACACUAACCAACUGUAGGAAAUGUCAAAUCUGACCCAAUCCAUCAGGCUGACUGUAGGCAUACCCGUCCCUGGGACUGUGUGAACACACCUGUCCCUGCCAGUUGUGACUAUCAGCUACCUCCACACUCUAGUCCGUGGAAAGCAAGUGCAACGGCAUGAGCGACACCAACGCGAAAGCAUAAACCGUCUCCAGAGUGGGCACUCGUGGGCGUACCCACCCGAGUAUGCAGCGUAUCUCUAUCGAGCUCAAUCAGGCUCUGUCAAGCCAAAGUCCAAGUAAACCUACUCUAACUGGUCUAACAACAACAAGUAACGUGCCUCGGCACAAUCUGACGCAAAACGGCGAACUGGCCCACCGUCAACCCCAACGCGCCAAAAUUCUGAAACAGCCCAAACGACCCUGUAAAAAUCCAUCGGCGUACCAGCACGAGCAUAAAUAUAUUCUAAACUACCUGGAGUACUCGUCUCGAGGAUACUGCGACAGUACAAUUUUAUAACGGCUCCUAGAGCUAAAUUUAGGCAGUUUAAACAAGUGACAGGUCCAAAUCGCAGGUUUUCUCCUAAUUUCAAAUUCAACUCAAACAUGUAUAACCUACUCAAUUAUUACCACAUGCUCCAAAUUCAGAUUUGCAAUCUACCAUAAUAAUCCAUUAAUUCGAGCUAGAAUAGAUUAUCCAAAAUUGAAAUCUAUACAUGUCGACGAUUAUGAACUUAGGAGUAAAACCGAUGUAAACCCACCUCAAAGCUAAUCCAUGGCAGCACGGAACUCCCUCGGCUGCGGCACAACCUGCUGGAUCAACUGAAAAUGUCCGAGUCUCGAAAUCAAGCUAUCUCCAAGCUAUCAACAUCAAAAAUCCACAAUUCAGUCCAAAUACACAGCAGCAGAGAAGAGAAGGGUUUCGACCAAGCUAACCUUCACCAAAAUCCAAAAGUAAUGGCUUCGUGGAUUCCUCUCGCAGUCCCGAAUCCAACGAACCAAGUCUCGUCGCAAUCCGAUGCUCCUACGUCGAGUACGAGCUGAAAUACUAACAGUCAACGAUGAAUUUCAGCAAACAACAUCACUUGAGUUCGAAGUAGUAAGAACUUGCCCAAAAACAAUGGAAAUGCUGAAUUACCCACCUCGACAACACCAAGCACCGAUGCGACAGCAAAAACGGCGAAAACCUACGCUCGCCCGGCCUCCUCGCGCUACCCCGGCAUCAAACAUGUGCUCGAAUGGCUCCGCGGCGCGACGUCGGCAACGAAAUCUCCAACCGAGCUCUCUUGCCUUCAACCGGUUAGAGAGAGUGAGAGGGGAAGAAAGAGCACAAGGAAACCCUCUCUCUCUCAGCUCACAGCAACCUUUGUAGAGAGGGAGUUGGAGGGAGAUACAAACGAGGUGGAGAUUUACACAAUUACCCACUCACCUACCCUGGUGUACCGGUACACGGGCCCGCGUACCGGUACAGUAGCCAACCCGAGAGCAACCCGCGAGCGGCCUUGUCACGCCCCCGACCGCACAACCCAAAAACGGUACCGAUUUGGUCCGGUCCGAGGGCGGCAGGCGUAAGGCAGAACGGACAGAGUCUCCCCUGUUCGCCCAAGGCUCCAACAACGAGACUGUGUACACAAGUUCCCAGGAAAAUAACUUGAAUACAUACACAAUCAAUCAAUAACAACGAAAGCACAAACAGUGCUAUACAAUACGAGAGCAAGCAUCACGAGUAAUAUAACCAUACAAGUGAAUAAAAGAGAGAUGCACUUAACUUACUAAAUUCGUUUAACUUUAUACAAUCAUUCAUCUUUUUACAAUUCUUCCAAAAGUAUAUAACAUAUACGAUCCUCUCAAAACCUCACCCUAUACAUCAAUCUACUCUCGAAAUAUAAAGCAUAGGGUGGAGCUAAUGCAAGGUAAAGUAAAGCUAUCUACUAGUACCACACCGCUAGGGCGCUAUGCCCUUGCCGCGAUCCUCACCGGGGGCGCUCGAGCUCGGACCUGCAACGUGGUGGAGUGAGAACUACGAAUAUUUCCCAGUGGGUUCGGCCGCCGACUCCGCCGAUCUCCCCACUAGGUCUUAAGGAGGCACGGAUAGAUAUGCAGAUAAAUAAAUAUAUGGAAACGAAAACAUAUUCAAUAAUGAGCAUCUAUGAACUAGAAUCUAUCAAUGCCUCAAUCCUGUGUAAUGCAUGCAUGGAACUCAUAGUAAGAUGGCCAACUAUCAACUACUAUGUUCAACAACAGAGUCAUUCAUCUAAUUACCCAAUCUCUCGGCGAACACAAAGGCUCGCUCACAGUCUCACGUGUAUCAAUCUCAUAGGGAAGGUGGCUAGGUAUCACCUACCCCGAGACCGCCUGCGGACUCUACACUAGUCCAAGGGCACUGCACUGGCCCCCUCGCGUGCCAAACUCCGGAGUGCACUACCUGUGAGGCGCUACCACCACAAGUGCAGACAGGCUAAGUAAGCUCGAUCCAAUCUCAUGAACUGGGAACACCCUAACCAACUAGGAUUGGUGUCACUGAAGAAUCAGGUGUUCAUCUACUCAAUCUCAUAGUGUCUCAACUACACUAUAGUUCUCAAGUUCGAUGUCAACAAGAUGCCACUCGUUCCGGGUUCCUUGUUAACUAGAUGCCACUCGUUCUUAUUACACUAGUUUACAAUAUACUAGGUUCUUAUUCACAUAGACAUAUUCAUCGCAUAUAGGGUUAACUACCUCAUAGUGUUCAACUCAUGCAUACUAGGUUCUCAUCCAUUGUAUUCACAACCCAAACUAUCACUAGCAUGCAAGGAUAUGCACAAUUACAUUUAACACCCUAUAAUGCUAUGUUACAGUAUGAAUUUAAUCGACAUAAUAACCCAGACAUAGAAAGCAGCUCGACUGCUUCGGGAUGGCACUCCCCCACCUUUUGGUCGUGCCGCGCGACUAGACAACUCGACGCCGCGGUCUUCGUGCGUCGCUUCAGCACCUCGGGGCAAAACGAACCCCCGAGUAUCAGUUUCGGCGAUAUCUUCGCACCCGCUCGUUGGAUCGACGAACCGUCUUCGCCUACGCGUUCAGCGACCAAGCAAUUAGGUUUAUGACCACUUGAAAUAGAUCAAAACCCUAGCUUUGCUAAAAACCCCAAAACGUGCCCUAGAUCUCGACAACGGAGAAAUCUGCGGUGCGAGCUUCGAUUUCGAGCUCGAACCAUCUCUUUAACUUCAAUAGGUUCCAUUCGAACCAUCUCCAAGCGAUAAAAACCCCAAACCCUAAAUACACCAUUAAUGGGUUUAGAGCUUACCUCAACACCAAGCUAAAGAGGGAGAGAAGAAGAUGCCUCCUUCUUCUUCUUAGUCUCCUCUUUCUCUUUCUCUUCCUUCUUCUUCUUCCUCUCCUUCUUCUUCUCCUUCUUCUUCUUUCCUUUCUAAAGAGAGAGAGAGGGAAAGAGUGUGAGAGAGGGAGAGGGAGCAACUGAGAGGGAGAGAGAGAGGUCCCCCCACCUCUAAUAAAGGCCAUUUUGCAGAUAGCCCCCUCAACUUUUCAUCUAAUACACAGCCCUCACUGGGUUGUUCUCGUAGCGAGGGACCGGUCCCAGGUCGGGGAGACCGGUCCCCGAAGACCACCCAUUCUGGCAGAGAGGAUUUCGCGUUCGGAAACCGGUCCUUACCUAAGAGACCGGUCCCCGGGAGACCGGUCCUUGUCGGAGAGACCGGUUCCCGAGAGCUAGGUUCUCAGGACUUAGCCAAAUUUCGGCAAAUCACGCGGGGCCAACGUUCGGGAACCGGUCCUUGCCUCCAGAGACCGGUUGCACCGAGGACCCCCGCCAGCCCAGCCUGAUGGGACCGGUCCCUCCCUGCCAGGGACCGGUCCCCGAGAGCAAAAUCUGCUCCAGUGCAGAUUUUUGCACUGCAGCUCUCGCGGACUCUUCCUCAAUGCAUUCUAGGCACUCCAAUCACCUUCGGGCUUUUCGAAGCCCACACCCUCUACAAACAGUCGAUUCUUAAUGAAGUCCAAUCCUCGGCCUUCGAGAAUUUACUUCCUCACAGGCCUGCUGAAGUGUACCGGCACACCUUGAUGGCUGUAACGGUACAGCUAGCAAAACAUCUGCUAAUUUGCAGGUUUCUUAGCCGAAAGCUGCCCUCGCGUCGCACGGAGUCCGUUUUGCGUCUAUUUGACGCCAACGCGAUUCAGACUUGUCCCGACACUCCACAGAGCUGCCGACAAGCCUCCCCAGCUGAACACUAAGGAUCUCACAAUAUCGAUGCAAACGUUCACAAAAACCAAAACCGGAACAACAUUAAACAACUCAGUUGCGCCCUAACAGAAGAACUUUGUAAACAGUGGUUUUUUUUCAAUCGAACAAAGAGCAAAAUCCAAUUAUAUUGUUCUAUUAUACCCCAAGAGUCUAAAUUUGUAACUUAUCGAUGUCAACGUUCACAAGAACCAAAACCGGACCAACAUUAGACUACUCAGUUGCGCCCUAACAGCAUAACUUUGCAAUGAGUACUUUUUCUCCUCCAAUCGAAUAAAGAGCAAAACCAAAUUAUAUUGUUCAAUUUUGGCCCGAGAGAGUAAAUUUGCAACGUAUCGAUGUCAACUUUCACAUAAACCAAAACCAGACCAACUGUAGCCCACUCAGUUGCGCCCUAACAGUAUAACUUUGCAAUGAGUACUUUUUCUCAUUNCGUACCGAUGACAACGUUCACAAGAACCAAAACGGGAAGAACAUUAGACUACUCAGUUGUGCCCUAAUAGCAUAACUUUGUAAUGAGUACUUUUUCUCCUUCAACCGAACAAGGAAUAAAACCUAAUUAUAUUAUUCUAUUAU
RNAcentral lists this long non-coding RNA (15280 nucleotides) under Ananas comosus (pineapple). Its description in RNAcentral is "long non-coding RNA (ACOM_LNC031544)". The record is from RNAcentral. Lineage: Eukaryota; Viridiplantae; Streptophyta; Magnoliopsida; Poales; Bromeliaceae.